CGAAUCCUGGUAUUAAAUAAUUAGCUUUCAUGAUAUUAAACAUUCAACAUAAGUCAAUUAGAAUUUACAAUUUGUUUAUUAUAAAUACGUAUUUGAUACCUUCUAUGUCAUAAAUAUGCGUCAAUAUCCUGUUUUGUAACACACAACUAAGCUAAUAAACUUUAUAAGAUGUUUUCUAAUCAAGCUAAAUGUGUUUAAAACUUUACUGUCCAUUCAUAAUAUAAUUUUGCUUAAAGGCGGGAAAGUUAUUUUUUUAUAAAGAUGGGAAGGUGGGGAUGGAAUAGCUUUUCGCCCACAGCAGAUAGUACAAAUACGACAAUGGACGAGAAAACUGCCAAAUUUUGCCACUAGUAGCUCUGGUUUAGCUUGACGGUUGACCCAUAACAAAUGCAAACAAACGUCAAAUCCCCUACUUUAUUAUUAUAACACAAGAUACAACAUUAUUUUUGUCCAAAAAUACCUCGCUGCGCAGCAAUCGCUAGUAAUAACAAUGGCAAUCACAGUUUUUCUAAGGAUUUACGUAUAAGGUGACUCUGGGAAUAAGCUCUUCGAGGUUAUGUUCGGAAGAGGAACAUUUUAUUGAAUCCGAUUAUAAAGGUUUAAGGCUUAAGCUCCUUUACAGGUUUACCUCAAGUUCAUAGAUAUUUGAAAAAGACUGCAAUCCCAACUGUUUACGCAUGGAGGAAACCUACUACCACAGCCAGUAUCGUAAUAAUGUAAUUAUAGGGUCAGCCAAGUCAAUAACAUCAUUGGAAUGGAUCAAUUUCGUUUGAUGUUAGUUAAAUUAAGAAGAAAUAAACCUGGUUUUGGGAGUAUAUUUGUUACAUGGGUAAAUUUUGUUCAUGAAUUAUG
Long non-coding RNA from Pieris napi, 852 nucleotides. RefSeq lists it as uncharacterized. The transcript is spliced from 2 exons. Lineage: Eukaryota; Metazoa; Arthropoda; Insecta; Lepidoptera; Pieridae. The record is from RefSeq and is a predicted model, not a curated record.